GUAAAGAAAUUGGUGACCAAUAUAAUUUGGGAAGGUCUGAGCUAUCACGAUAAUCUCUAGGAGGGAAACCCUGUACAAUAGGGUGGUUAAGUAAAAGAAAUUUACCUGUGUGUGGUUAAUGACAAAGAAGUCUAUUAAGUUAAUGAGUUCGUUGAGCUUCGUUAAUUGAAUGACCGAGUCGAUCAACACUUGGUUGGUAAUGCUUAACUGUGAUUGGAAUCAUUGAAGUUAGAUUCACUGGGCAGUUCUCACCAUGGUGCGGCUGUAACUUGAUUCAGAUUAAUCUCUAGCUAAC
This 295-nucleotide RNase P RNA is filed under the name Dictyostelium purpureum. Its description in RNAcentral is "Nuclear RNase P". It matches the Rfam family "Nuclear RNase P". Rfam says of the family: Ribonuclease P (RNase P) is a ubiquitous endoribonuclease, found in archaea, bacteria and eukarya as well as chloroplasts and mitochondria. Its best characterised activity is the generation of mature 5'-ends of tRNAs by cleaving the 5'-leader elements of precursor-tRNAs. Lineage: Eukaryota; Evosea; Eumycetozoa; Dictyosteliales; Dictyosteliaceae. The record is from Rfam by way of RNAcentral.